This is a long non-coding RNA of Anguilla anguilla (European eel), 457 nucleotides long. RefSeq lists it as uncharacterized. The record is from RefSeq and is a predicted model, not a curated record. NCBI's taxonomy places the organism in Eukaryota, Metazoa, Chordata, Actinopteri, Anguilliformes, Anguillidae. The transcript has 3 exons.
AGCUAGCUACACAGGAAACGAAUCAUUCACACUCAGCUGUUGCUUACUAAGCACCUAACUAGACAUGUCUUACAUGAAAUGCACUUUGCUGGAAACACGCAACUAUCUGUUGUUGUUUGUACCUUAAAAAAAAAAAAAAAAACGGAAAGACAACAACAAUAAAAACACAUUCCCGACAGUGUCAACAGCAUUGGGACUCAGCAGUGUAGCUAGUUGGUUUGGCGCUCGAGUGGAGAGGAUGAGCGCGGACACCCUUGAGCUCGCGCUACCCGCCGUUUCAACAAGGCACACUUCCCCAACCGGCCUCAGCCAGCUGAUGUGCGGGUGAGCCUGUCCUGAAUCAGUGGGUGCUACACACUGGCAGAGAUGAAUUCCCCAUCAACUUCAUGAUCAUGAAAUGAAAAAUGCUUGCAUGAAUUUAAUGCAUAAUAAUAAAUAAAUAAAUAAAUAAUAAAAU